Molecule: non-coding RNA, 147 nt
Organism: Pelobates cultripes (western spadefoot toad)
Lineage: Eukaryota; Metazoa; Chordata; Amphibia; Anura; Pelobatidae
Source: the annotation of a GenBank genome assembly
GCACAUUCCAGCCAAUCAGCAGCAGACCCUCCCUCCCAGACCCUCCCACCUCCUGGACAGCAUCCAUUGUGAAGCUGCAUUCUUAGUGAGCUGUCCAGGAGGUGGGAGGGUCUGGGAGGGAGGGUCUGCUGCUGAUUGACUGGAAUG